UUAACAUGCUUCGUUUACUGUAUACUUCUAUUAUAAGUGUCGUGAAACAAAACAUUUACAGGACUUUAUAGUCGAUGAUGAAGCCUCACAGCUAUGCUCGCUCUUAGAGGAUUCCUAUUCAAUGGAAAAUGGUAUGGUAAAAGACACCAAAAUUCUGCUAACAGGACAUCCCUCCUACAUAUCUACUAAAGAAUCGAGCAAAAAUUACUGAAGUAAGUUUACUAAAAAUGACUGGACAUUGCGGGCCGUAGUAUCACACGUUAUCUGUUUACGGUUAGUAGCCUUAGUACAUACAUAUUUGCAGCUGCUUGGUGGUUAUACGUUUAAUCAAACAGAUUCCUUGCAUGAUGAAAGGGAAGCUUUGCUCUAUCGCCUAUGACAUCGAGAUGGAAUAGCUAGUAGCGUUGGAAAUGACUGUGCUUGUUUUAACUAACGAAUUUUUUAAAUAUAAUAUUUUUUUCUUUACCAAAAUUACAGAUGGUUGUGCGAUAUAAGUUUUGAAGCGCUCUUCCAACCGCAUUUAAUAAACGUUGGAGGACAAGGCAUCGCAGGAUUAGUGUUUAAAACCAUACAAACAGCCAAUAUCGAUAUACGACCGGAAUUGUACAAUCAUAUCAUGUCAUCUGGUGAUUAGUGUGUCCAAAUAUGAUGUGGAUAAAUUAGCGAAAUUUAAAAUUCAUCUUGAAGAUCCGCUAUCGUGAUGAGCGAUAUUUCACCACCGCACAGUGGUCGGUCUUGUAUGGGAUCAGCGGCCAAAAAUACUUCCACUGCAUAUAUAAAAGUGAAACUUUUGCCAAAGCUUUUUAAAAUCUCCCUCUCACGUUUCCCACUCUGCCACUC
Long non-coding RNA from Bactrocera tryoni, 840 nucleotides. RefSeq lists it as uncharacterized. The transcript has 3 exons. The record is from RefSeq and is a predicted model, not a curated record. Lineage: Eukaryota; Metazoa; Arthropoda; Insecta; Diptera; Tephritidae.